UGCUUUGAUAGUAUAAUUAAGUAUUCUGUCUUUCCAAGUCAGGGGUUCAGGAAUUGAUCGCAGCAG
RNAcentral lists this transfer RNA (66 nucleotides) under Glypthelmins quieta. Its description in RNAcentral is "tRNA-Gly". Lineage: Eukaryota; Metazoa; Platyhelminthes; Trematoda; Plagiorchiida; Plagiorchiidae. The record is from RNAcentral.